Molecule: long non-coding RNA, 1441 nt
Organism: Magallana angulata
Lineage: Eukaryota; Metazoa; Mollusca; Bivalvia; Ostreida; Ostreidae
Exons: 5
Source: RefSeq, a predicted model, not a curated record
UGACCAGCUGUUCAAUAUAGAAUCUGGACCAAACUUAGGUUUAACUCAGACUUUUUUCUGAUAUUCUGUUAUUUUUGUGUGCUCCAUAUUACCAUUGACUUCUCAGAAGUGUCUAUAGUCUUUUUAAAUAGAUUAAAUGAUGCUAGCCAAUGCCAAUUUAAUUCGUCUGAGUUAUUUUUCAGCAGACCAUUUAUUGUACAUUGAGUGCGCAGCUUGAUCGAAAGAGUGAUUCGGAUCAAAUACUGCCUCCCAUACUUUUCAGCCAUCCUUGCAGAGGAGUUCCGCAGUCUUCUUUUAAGCCUGAAGUGGUCUCGUGUAAUGAGGUUGAUGUAAAAGAAGGUUUGCGUCACACUCCCUGAGACUACAUCCACUGUCAGCAGUGCAGCAUCUGGAGGAUUUUCAUUUUUUUGCCUCCUCUGUCUUCGGAGAUGGUGGCACCAGGGCGUCGGUGUCAUUUUGUCACUUUAUAACGCUGACAGAGAGUCCGUAUCCAUCUGAUCCAUCAUGACAGAUAUUUUUCUUCAUGAUGCAGCAUUUGCCGAGGGAGAGAGCCUGAUACUCAGACGAGCACAGCAUAAAUAUAAAUCAAGAUCCAGGACUCAAGUUUCAUACACAAUUAGAGGUUAUUCUAUGUAGUAGAGAAAUUGCAUGAAGGAGCAUCUUCUUACACAUACGGAACCCAAGGACUGAGCAUCGCGAAAAAAUACUACAACGAUCAGCAGACAUACCUGCAGACAAAUCAUCAAAAUGACACAUUUCUAUCAGGACUGAUUGGCAAAGCCAAGGGGCAGGUACACAGACUUGCAAUGAUAAUCGAGGCCGUAUCAAAUGCACAAACCGUAUUGCAGGAAAUUGGAGAGGCAAAUAUCCAUAAAAUUGACGAGGAAUUCAUAAGGAAAGUUGACAUCCAUUUGAAGGAAACCAGAUAUGCCAAAGUGAUAUCUGAAUCCUCCACAAUAAAAAGUAUUGCUGUAAAUAAUUAUUUUCUUCAGCAAAAAAAAAUCUGCAUGCCGGGUAUUCCAAAGACGAAGAUUCAGUACCAGACAAUUUGAACCCAGCUCUCACAAAAAAAUCCUGCUUUGGCCAGGAAAAAAUGUAAAAUGUCAAGAUGUAGCGCGCUGCUGCCGAUCAAAUGCAGAGACAAUAAAGUUUCACAUGAAAGAGCUAGCAGCCAUCGGUAUUGGAGGAGUCAACUUGGAAAAGCCCAUUGGAGGGGGUCGAAUAACCGUUGUGUUUGACAAAAAAGAUGUGCCCGAUUCCGAUAUGGAAGAAGCAAUGGAGUUAGGGGAAAAGCUGGUUCGUUAAGGUGUCAAAUUCGACGAGUACAAAUCACAGUUGGAAAAUAACGAAAAUAUUCUCUGUCCAUCAAAGAAACAAAAAAACAUGUGAACACUUCAAUAACAGCAUGCCCUAAUUAUGUUUAUAAUUAAAGAGAACGUUU